This 63-nucleotide transfer RNA is filed under the name Suragina sp. KW-2016. RNAcentral's name for it is "tRNA-Leu". It matches the Rfam family "tRNA". From Rfam's summary of the family: Transfer RNA (tRNA) molecules are approximately 80 nucleotides in length. Their secondary structure includes four short double-helical elements and three loops (D, anti-codon, and T loops). The record is from RNAcentral. Lineage: Eukaryota; Metazoa; Arthropoda; Insecta; Diptera; Athericidae.
GCUAUUUUGGCAGAUUAGUGCAAUAAAUUUAGAAUUUAUAUAUGUAAGUUUUUACAGAUAGUA